Molecule: ribosomal RNA, 466 nt
Filed under: Vreelandella stevensii
Lineage: Bacteria; Pseudomonadati; Pseudomonadota; Gammaproteobacteria; Oceanospirillales; Halomonadaceae
Description: partial 16S ribosomal RNA
Rfam family: Bacterial small subunit ribosomal RNA
Source: RNAcentral
CCUACGGGCGGGCAGCAGUGGGGAAUAUUGGACAAUGGGGGCAACCCUGAUCCAGCCAUGCCGCGUGUGUGAAGAAGGCCCUCGGGUUGUAAAGCACUUUCAGUGAGGAAGAACGCCUGGUGGUUAAUACCCAUCAGGAAAGACAUCACUCACAGAAGAAGCACCGGCUAACUCCGUGCCAGCAGCCGCGGUAAUACGGAGGGUGCGAGCGUUAAUCGGAAUUACUGGGCGUAAAGCGCGCGUAGGUGGCUUGAUAAGCCGGUUGUGAAAGCCCCGGGCUCAACCUGGGAACGGCAUCCGGAACUGUCAAGCUAGAGUGCAGGAGAGGAAGGUAGAAUUCCCGGUGUAGCGGUGAAAUGCGUAGAGAUCGGGAGGAAUACCAGUGGCGAAGACGGCCUUCUGGACUGACACUGACACUGAGGUGCGAAAGCGUGGGUAGCAAACAGGAUUAGAUACCCGAGUAGUC